Molecule: small nuclear RNA, 107 nt
Organism: Myotis lucifugus (little brown bat)
Lineage: Eukaryota; Metazoa; Chordata; Mammalia; Chiroptera; Vespertilionidae
Source: Ensembl
GUGCUCGCUUCAGCAGCACAUCUACUAAAACUGGAACGAUGCAGAGGAGAUUAGCAUGGCCCCUGCACAAGGAUGACAUGCAAAUUCAUGAAGCAUUUCAUAUUUUU